This 148-nucleotide non-coding RNA is filed under the name Homo sapiens (human). Lineage: Eukaryota; Metazoa; Chordata; Mammalia; Primates; Hominidae. The record is from Rfam by way of RNAcentral.
GCCGGGCAUGAUGAUGCAUGCCUGUAAUCCCAGCUACGUGGGAGGCUGAGGCAGGAGAAUUGCUUGAACCCAGGAGGCAGAGGUUGCAGUGAGCUGAGAUUGUGCCACUGCACUCCAGCCUGGGUGACAGAGUGAGACCCUGUCUCAA